GACGAACGCUGGCGGCGUGCUUAACACAUGCAAGUCGAACGGAAAGGCCCUGCUUUUGUGGGGUGCUCGAGUGGCGAACGGGUGAGUAACACGUGAGUAACCUGCCCUUGACUUUGGGAUAACUUCAGGAAACUGGGGCUAAUACCGGAUAGGAGCUCCUGCUGCAUGGUGGGGGUUGGAAAGUUUCGGCGGUUGGGGAUGGACUCGCGGCUUAUCAGCUUGUUGGUGGGGUAGUGGCGUACCAAGGCUUUGACGGGUAGCCGGCCUGAGAGGGUGACCGGCCACAAUGGGACUAAGAGAGGGCCCAGACGCGUACGGGCGGCAGCAGUGGGAAGUAUUGCGCAGUGGGCGGAAGCCUGAUGCAGCAACGCCGCGUGCGGGAUGACGGCCUUCGGGUUGUGAACCGCUUUCGACUGUGACGAAGCGUGCGUGACGGUAAUGGGUAAAGAAGCACCGGCUAACUACGUG
RNAcentral lists this ribosomal RNA (468 nucleotides) under uncultured bacterium. Its description in RNAcentral is "partial 16S ribosomal RNA". It matches the Rfam family "Bacterial small subunit ribosomal RNA", at positions 28 to 507 of the family's 1533-position model. The record is from RNAcentral.